ACGAACGCUGGCGGCGUGCUUAACACAUGCAAGUCGAACGGUGACCCACCUUCGGGUGGCGAUCAGUGGCGAACGGGUGAGUAACACGUGGGCAAUCUGCCCCUCACACUGGAAUAACUCCGGGAAACCGGGGCUAAUACCGGAUAUCACUACUGAGGGCAUCCUCGGUAGUUGAAAGGAUUCUGGUGAGGGAUGAGCCCGCGGCCUAUCAGCUUGUUGGUGGGGUAACGGCCCACCAAGGCGACGACGGGUAGCCGGCCUGAGAGGGCGACCGGCCACACUGGGACUGAGACACGGCCCAGACUCCUACGGGAGGCAGCAGUGGGGAAUAUUGCGCAAUGGGCGAAAGCCUGACGCAGCAACGCCGCGUGAGGGAACGAAGGCCUUUGGGUUGUAAACCUCUUUCAGCAGGGACGAAGCGAAAGUGACGGUACCUGCAGAAGAAGCACCGGCUAACUACGU
Molecule: ribosomal RNA, 462 nt
Filed under: uncultured bacterium
Lineage: Bacteria
Description: bacterial SSU rRNA
Rfam family: Bacterial small subunit ribosomal RNA
Source: RNAcentral